Molecule: ribosomal RNA, 506 nt
Filed under: uncultured bacterium
Lineage: Bacteria
Description: partial 16S ribosomal RNA
Rfam family: Bacterial small subunit ribosomal RNA
Source: RNAcentral
GAUGAACGCUGGCGGUAGGCCUAACACAUGCAAGUCGAACGGCAGCACAGGAGAGCUUGCUCUCUGGGUGGCGAGUGGCGGACGGGUGAGGAAUACAUCGGAAUCUACUCUGUCGUGGGGGAUAACGUAGGGAAACUUACGCUAAUACCGCAUACGACCUACGGUUGAAAGCAGGGGACCUUCGGGCCUUGCGCGAUUGAAUGAGCCGAUGUCGGAUUAGCUAGUUGGCGGGGUAAAGGCCCACCAAGGCGACGAUCCGUAGAUGGUCUGAGAGGAUGAUCAGCCACACUGGAACUGAGACACGGUCCAGACGCCUACGGGAGGCAGCAGUGGGGAAGAUUGGACAAGGGGCGCAAGCCUGAUCCAGCCAUACCGCGUGGGUGAAGAAGGCCUUCGGGUUGUAAAGCCCUUUUGUUGGGAAAGAAAUCCAGCUGGCUAAUACCCGGUUGGGAUGACGGUACCCAAAGAAUAAGCACCGGCUAACUUCGUGCCAGCCGCCGCUGUAA